UUUCUCGGCCUUUUGGCUAAGAUCAAGUGUAGUAUCUGUUCUUAUCAGUUUAAUAUCUGAUAUGUGGGCCAUGUGCCCACAACGAUAUUAAAUUUAUUUUUCGUGGGGGAAGGCCCGCCACGGUAGCUUGCUGCCGGGGCCUUCAUGUGUCGCUUGGGCUUUGCACUACCGCCCAGGCCUGGCGCACCCCAACCAAUUCCAAAUUAAAGAUUUUAGUCCCCUCAAUUUUUUUUAUUUAAAGAUUUUAGUACUGAGUAUUGCAACUAAUUUUUCCCACAAAGGAAGCUGCAGGCUCGAUUUGCGAAGGCAAGAGAGGAUUACGCCACGGGCGUUUUGGAACCUGUCGUUCCUCUUUUCUGUUUUCCUCUGAUGGCCGGCCGGCCAAGUUGGUUGAGAGCUCCAGAAAACCACUCUUGAUAGUCCAGUUUUUCCUUUCGGGUAAGCAACAUACAAACGAUAGCUAUCACAUCGUGGGCCGUCUCUCUUGUGCCCAAUCUAGCGAGCUUGACAAGGCUAGCUUGCUCUCCGGAACACUGAUCGAGUUCAGUUCCUGCAGGAAACAAACAGGGGAAACAUGCAUUCAAAACGAAAGCCUAGAGGCAUUAUCCGCGAGUAAUUGGGGAAUGAUACCUGUGGACCAUGCCUUACCAGUUUAUUUCAUUCCAGAUAUAGUCAUUAUCAAAUGACAGCACAAGAACCAAUCAGAAUCCAGCAUCCUGGACUAUCUCCCCUGUA
Brachypodium distachyon (stiff brome) is the source of this 735-nucleotide long non-coding RNA. RefSeq lists it as uncharacterized. The transcript has 2 exons. Lineage: Eukaryota; Viridiplantae; Streptophyta; Magnoliopsida; Poales; Poaceae. The record is from RefSeq and is a predicted model, not a curated record.